GAUGUAGAACGUAGCGAAAUGCGAUAAGUAAUGUGAAUUGCAGAAUUCAGUGAAUCAUCGAAUCUUUGAACGCACCUUGCACCCUUUGGCAUUCUGAAGGGUAUGCUCGUUUGAGUGUCAUUGUACUCUCACACUCCCGAUCUUUGCAUUGGGAGCAGUGGACUUGGGUUUGCUGCUUCACCGUCGCUUACCUCAAAUAGGUUAGUGCAACUCUUGGUUGGACAUAGUACGGCGUGAUAAGUGUUCUUCGCCGGUGCCUCGCAAAGAGGGUGGCCGAUCGGGAUGUUGUGCUCCAAACCGUCUUCGGACAAUCUCUGACGACUUGACCUCAAAUCGAGUAAGACUACCCGCUGAACUUAAGCAUAUCAAUAAGCGGAGGA
This 380-nucleotide unclassified non-coding RNA is filed under the name soil metagenome. Its description in RNAcentral is "partial contains 5.8S ribosomal RNA, internal transcribed spacer 2, and large subunit ribosomal RNA". The stretch from base 1 to 120 matches the Rfam family "5.8S ribosomal RNA", at positions 35 to 154 of the family's 154-position model. The record is from RNAcentral.